GGAGCCCCUCUGGAGACGGGGGCUGAGUCUCACGAGGCUGGAAGGGAGGUGGAUGGCCAGACUCGCAGCACAACGUCAGAAACGGGCCACUUACAGCAAAGACUGAGGCUCAAACACAAGUAAAGCAAAUGCACCCCUAAUCAAAGGCAGUACUUGUGACAGCCCCAAGGGAAAAGGUACUGAGCCAUCUCUACUGCCUGGCCUGCUGGGUUUACUCAUCACAGAGAGGAGAGGAGGGUUGAGAUUGAACAGAAAUGAUGGGAAUACUCAAAACACAAAAAGGGAGGGGCGAUGUAAGAGGUGGCGAGCAAGCCAGCCCAUCAGAGGGAGUGGUCGUGGCCUUGCUGCCCCGUGGAUUUCUCUGUGGGGAUUGGCUGUGAGGGAUGGUGUCCCUUUACGACUCCUCCUAGGCCUGGUUCAUACAUUCAGGCCACACUGGUUUUAACAUAAGGCGAACCCAGGCACACAGCUGGGGCAAAGGCGCUCGCUAGACCAUGAACAUCGCAUCUUGUGUUGCUUCCUUGAACAGAGGUGACUGGGCCACUUCUGUCCAAACUGCCAGGGCUACAGCUGAAGCCAUCCGUGAGAGCCCAGGCGGGGAGCAGCAGCUCGGCUCAGGGAGCCUGCAGUCCUCAGGAGACCCGCUCAGGCACCAGGAAGGAGCGUCCGCUUCUCCUCAUGAUGCGUCACAGCUUCAGGGGUGCAGCCCCAGCCGCCUGGGGCACCAGCCUCACCAAACCAGUUUGCUGAAGGGCCUGGUGGAGAGUGGUGCUGACUGUGGGUGGGAAGGACAGGGCCUACCCUGGAUGGCAUGCCUGCUGCACAUCCUUCUCCCAGGGAGUGACUCAGACUGAGAGGGGUGGGAGGAGGCCCAGAGGCCCUGAGCCCCCUGGACAGGCCAUGCACGAUACUGCACCAGGGUGUCCUGGGAGUAGUGUGGUCCUGUCUUCUUGCCCGUGGGCAGCCAGUGACCAUAGUGCUUGGGGCACUAGUUCAUAAAUGGGGCCACUCUACCUCCAUGCCAACUGCAGAGAGAGGGUGGGGCCCAGCUACAGGGUGGGGGAAUCCCAGGAUCUUUGGGACCCGAACCCCAGAUGCAUGUGCUGGGGUUCUGCUAGAAGGGCAGGCAGGGAGCCUCAUUCUCAGGAGGAGUCCAGAGACCUUGUCAUUUCCCUCCUCUCCCCACUUGCUCCCAGACAGCCCCCCACUUUUCGCUGUUUGGCUCUGGUCGGCCCCGAGCCCCAAGUCUGCACCAGGCCUCGCACUGGGCGCUGCCAUUGGAAGAGAACAGGCUGGGCCCUGGCAGUGCUCGGUCACCGCCAUCAGAGCAAAAGGGUGUUUGUGAGCUAGCCUGGAAAAUGGAGCAUGUCCUCUGUUAUGUUUCCCAUGGAAAGAAUUUCAUUUAAUUCCAAAUUAUUUCAAACAUUAUAGUCUCAAAUAAAAAAUAUUGACUAACAAA
Manis pentadactyla (Chinese pangolin) is the source of this 1459-nucleotide long non-coding RNA. RefSeq lists it as uncharacterized. The transcript is spliced from 2 exons. NCBI's taxonomy places the organism in Eukaryota, Metazoa, Chordata, Mammalia, Pholidota, Manidae. The record is from RefSeq and is a predicted model, not a curated record.